CAACCUCAACUCAUAUGGGACUACUCCCUGAAUUUAAGCAUAUUAAUUAGGGGAGGAAAAGAAACUAACAAGGAUUUUCUUAGUAGCGGCGAGCGAAAAGAAAUCAGUUCAGCACUAAGUCACUUUGUCUAUAUGGCAAAUGUGAGAUGCAGUGUACGGAACAUCAACAUUCUAGUAUGAGAAGUUAACGAUUUAAGUCCUUCUUAAAUGAGGCCAUUUACCCAUAGAGGGUGCCAGGCCCGUAUAACGUUAAUGAUUACUAGAUGGUGUUUCCAAAGAGUCGUGUUGCUUGAUAGUGCAGCACUAAGUGGGUGGUAAACUCCAUCUAAAACUAAAUAUAACCAUGAGACCGAUAGUAAACAAGUACCGUGAGGGAAAGUUGAAAAGAACUCUGAAUAGAGAGUUAAAUAGUACGUGAAACUGCUUAGAGGUUAAGCCCGAUGAACCUGAAUAUCCGUUAUGGAAAAUUCAUCAUUAGAAUUGUAAUAUUUUAAACAAUAUUAUAAUAAUAGUGUGCAUUUUUUCCAUAUAAGGACAUUGUAAUCUAUUAGCAUAAAUAUUUAUCAUAAAAUUAUGUCUGAUUGCUUAUUUGAAUUAUAUGCUUGGCAUUUUAACAUAAAAUAAAAGAUAUAAAUUUGAUAAAGUGCUGAUAGAUUUAUAUGAUUACAGUGCGUUAAUUUUUCGGAAUUAUAUAAUGGCAUAAUUAUCAUUGAUAUUUGUGUUUAUUAUAUGCAUUUGUAUGAUUA
Molecule: non-coding RNA, 746 nt
Filed under: Drosophila virilis
Lineage: Eukaryota; Metazoa; Arthropoda; Insecta; Diptera; Drosophilidae
Description: Eukaryotic large subunit ribosomal RNA
Rfam family: Eukaryotic large subunit ribosomal RNA
Source: Rfam by way of RNAcentral